GAUGAACGCUGGCGGCGUGCCUAAUACAUGCAAGUCGAGCGAACCACUUCGGUGGGAAGCGGCGAACGGGUGAGUAACACGUAGGUGAUCUGCCCAUCAGACGGGGACAACGAUUGGAAACGAUCGCUAAUACCGGAUAGGACGAAAGUUUAAAGAUGCUCCUGGCAUCACUGAUGGAUGAGCCUGCGGCGCAUUAGCUAGUUGGUGGGGUAAAGGCCUACCAAGGCGACGAUGCGUAGCCGACCUGAGAGGGUGAACGGCCACAUUGGAACUGAGACACGGUCCAA
RNAcentral lists this ribosomal RNA (287 nucleotides) under uncultured bacterium. RNAcentral's name for it is "partial 16S ribosomal RNA". It matches the Rfam family "Bacterial small subunit ribosomal RNA", at positions 28 to 334 of the family's 1533-position model. The record is from RNAcentral.